This 467-nucleotide ribosomal RNA is filed under the name uncultured bacterium. Its description in RNAcentral is "partial 16S ribosomal RNA". It matches the Rfam family "Bacterial small subunit ribosomal RNA", at positions 28 to 507 of the family's 1533-position model. The record is from RNAcentral.
AACGAACGCUGGCGGCGUGCUUAACACAUGCAAGUCGAACGGUAAGUCCUCUUUCGGGGGCUACUGGAUUGGCGAACGGGUGAGUAACACCUUAGUAACCUGCCUUUGACUUUGGGAUAACUUCAGAAAACUGGUGCUAAUACCAGAUCGGAGCUCCUGCUGCAAGGUGGGAGUUGGAGAGUUUCGGCGUUUGGGGAUGGAGUCGCGGCUUAUCAGCUUGUUGGUGGGGUAGUGGCUUACCAAGGCUUUGGCGGGUAGCCGGCCUGGGAGGGUGACCGGCAACAGUCGGACUGAGAUACGGCCCAGACUCCGACGGGAGGCAGCAGUGGGGAAUAUUGCACAUGGGGUGGGGGCGUGAUGCAGAAACGCCGUGGGCGGGAUGACGGUGUAGGGGUUGUAGACCGAUAGCGCUCAUAACGAAGCUGUGUGUGACGGUAGCGGGUAAAGAAGCACCGGCUAACUACGUG